Molecule: ribosomal RNA, 666 nt
Filed under: Stenotrophomonas sp.
Lineage: Bacteria; Pseudomonadati; Pseudomonadota; Gammaproteobacteria; Lysobacterales; Lysobacteraceae
Description: bacterial SSU rRNA
Rfam family: Bacterial small subunit ribosomal RNA
Source: RNAcentral
GAACGGCAGCACAGUAAGAGCUUGCUCUUAUGGGUGGCGAGUGGCGGACGGGUGAGGAAUGCAUCGGAAUCUACUCUUUCGUGGGGGAUAACGUAGGGAAACUUACGCUAAUACCGCAUACGACCUACGGGUGAAAGCCGGGGACCUUCGGGCCUGGCGCGAAUGAAUGAGCCGAUGCCCGAUUAGCUAGUUGGCGGGGUAAGAGCCCACCAAGGCGACGAUCGGUAGCUGGUCUGAGAGGAUGAUCAGCCACACUGGAACUGAGACACGGUCCAGACUCCUACGGGAGGCAGCAGUGGGGAAUAUUGGACAAUGGGCGCAAGCCUGAUCCAGCCAUACCGCGUGGGUGAAGAAGGCCUUCGGGUUGUAAAGCCCUUUUGUUGGGAAAGAAAAGCAGCCGGUUAAUACCCGGUUGUUCUGACGGUACCCAAAGAAUAAGCACCGGCUAACUUCGUGCCAGCAGCCGCGGUAAUACGAAGGGUGCAAGCGUUACUCGGAAUUACUGGGCGUAAAGCGUGCGUAGGUGGUUGUUUAAGUCUGUCGUGAAAGCCCUGGGCUCAACCUGGGAAUUGCGAUGGAAACUGGGCGACUAGAGUGUGGCAGAGGAUAGUGGAAUUCCUGGUGUAGCAGUGAAAUGCGUAGAGAUCAGGAGGAACAUCCGUGGCG